GGAAAUUUUUCGCCUUUUUUCUCAGCAUUGCUAUUGUCCAGAAAAAGAUGAUUGAAUUGAGACUGUGAUUCAACAAGGCUAUUGUAAUAGCCCAAGACUGAAUCACGCGGCAACAUUUUUGGGCUGACGUUAGGAGAUAAAACAGAAACGAUGGAUACAGGCAUAACGCAAAGCAGAAAUACAACAAUUAUAAGAAAGCAGGACUUGGCUAUUUUGAUUUCCUUUGCGAAUUGUUGUUUCCUCUUUUUCUCGGAUGGAUUAUGUUCCACAAAAGUAUGACCAGGUCGGUUUUCUAAUCGAAAUCUUCUUCUGGCUGUCUGGAAG
Molecule: non-coding RNA, 324 nt
Organism: Paramuricea clavata
Lineage: Eukaryota; Metazoa; Cnidaria; Anthozoa; Malacalcyonacea; Plexauridae
Source: the annotation of a GenBank genome assembly